This 497-nucleotide ribosomal RNA is filed under the name uncultured bacterium. RNAcentral describes it as "partial 16S ribosomal RNA". It matches the Rfam family "Bacterial small subunit ribosomal RNA", at positions 28 to 507 of the family's 1533-position model. The record is from RNAcentral.
GACGAACGCUGGCGGCGUGCCUAAUACAUGCAAGUUGAGCGCUGAAGGUUGGUACUUGUACCGACUGGAUGAGCAGCGAACGGGUGAGUAACGCGUGGGGAAUCUGCCUUUGAGCGGGGGACAACAUUUGGAAACGAAUGCUAAUACCGCAUAAAAACUUUAAACACAAGUUUUAAGUUUGAAAGAUGCAAUUGCAUCACUCAAAGAUGAUCCCGCGUUGUAUUAGCUAGUUGGUGAGGUAAAGGCUCACCAAGGCGAUGAUACAUAGCCGACCUGAGAGGGUGAUCGGCCACAAUGGGACUGAGACACGGCCCAAACUCCUACGGGAGGCAGCAGUAGGGAAUCUUCGGCAAUGGACGAAAGGCUGACCGAGCAACGCCGCGUGAGUGAAGAAGGGUUUCGGAUCGUAAAACUCUGUUGGUAGAGAAGAACGUUGGUGAGAGUGGAAAGCUCAUCAAGUGACGGUAACUACACAGAAAGGGACGGCUAACUACGUG